RNAcentral lists this long non-coding RNA (1011 nucleotides) under Chrysemys picta bellii (western painted turtle). Its description in RNAcentral is "lncRNA (ENSCPBG00000002583.1)". Lineage: Eukaryota; Metazoa; Chordata; Testudines; Emydidae. The record is from RNAcentral.
GAAAGGAUCCGAGUCCUUGCUCCCACUUCCUUUACCCAGAGGCCUCCCUGCCCUUGAGGACUCCCCUUCCACUCUCCUGUCUGGCAGUGUCCUCGUAAACCCAACAAGGCUGGGCCCAGGAUUCCUGGGGGGCUCGACCCCCAUCCCUGCUGUGGUCACCCAGGACAGGGGCUAGGGUGUCCCCACUCCGGGGUACUCUCUCUGCACUGGGCACCUCCCUGACCCACUGAUCAUUUUAUACAAUUUAAAGCAAAUACAAGUUGUUUAAUUAACAAUUAAUUUUAAAAAAGAAUAAGGAAAAAUGGGAAAGGUUAAAGGAAAACACAUCACCCCGCUCUGUGGCAGGGAACACUACAAACAGUGUCUCUGGAACGUCAGGGCAGUUCACAGUCUGUUCCUUGUAGGUCCCAGGCUCCUUCUCAGGCCCUGGCUGUGCUGCAGAGACGCUGCGGGUUGGACACUUGCUCUGGUGGUGGCCACACGCUCUCAGGCUCUAGGUGGCAGGACCCUUCUUCCCAGCGUCGCCCCCGCCCAGUCGGGGUUACGAUCCCCUUCCAAGUCUGGCCUGCAAGGCCUCUUGGCUGAGGCGUCUCCCUGUGCUGGGCCCACUGCCCAGGGUCCCCCUCACUCUCCCCAGCUGCUCACCGCACUCGGACUGCACACGGCUCCGGACUGCCCCAGCCCCAGCUCCGGACUGCUCCAGCCCCGGCUCCAGCUCCACUCUGCCUCAGCCCGGCUGCUGCUGCUGCUCUGCCUUCAGCUCCCUGGGCUGCUUCUCUGGCCUCUCUGGCUCUGGUUGCUGCAGGCUGCUUCUGUGACUCUGCUCCCAGCUCUGACCUGCUUCCUGGCUGCUUGUCUGGCCCCUCUGGCUCUGGUUGCUGCAGCUCUGCUUCCAGGGCAGGUCUGCUCUCUCUGGGCUGUGCUCUGGCUUUGGGGCUGCAGCUCUGCUCCCAGCAGCUUAGCUCAGCCUCUGCUCUCUCCUUAGCUCGGCCCCAGUCUGUCUGACUCAGG